CAGGGAGACUGUUUGAGGCCAGCCCUGGAGGUUGUCUACUGUGCCGUGAUGUUCACGCACCUGAUUAGCUCAGAAAGGCAGCUUGGCCAAUGUCACACAAGUUUGGAAGCUGCACAUUUUGUAAGGUGCUCAAAAUGCCUCCAGUUUUAGUUUUUGUAUCAUAAGAAAAAAAGGGGAAGACGAGCAAGGGCCACAUGGUCAGCCCUGUUUCCUGGACAGGGCAGCGGUGACCCCAGGAGUGCGGUUCCUAAACCAGGUUCCUGUGGUUCUGAGGAGAGAUGCUCCCAGGACACCUGUGUAUGAUGCAUAAGCUCUGAGCCGUGCCAACAGCCAGCACCUGUUGCUUCACUAAACCCCACACAAAACAAGGCCUUGUGUGUGAGAGAAGAGAGACCUCAGCUCUUGGAGGUGGGAGCUUUCUCCAUCAUCUUUCUCUUAUGUCCACCUGGCAAAAGGAACAGGUGUGCCUGGAAGUCCCUCUUUGUCCUUUCAGACCCAUAUGCUGACAUUCCACGUCCGGUCUGGGCCCUGGGAGGCUGGUCUCUAGGGACUCCACCCUCCAGGGCUCUGGCCUUCGGUUGGGUUUGGGCAAUGGAAGGCCCUGGUGUAAGAUCAGAAGGGGGUAAGGGGAGAGGCUGGGGCCUUUAUUUCCUGGCAACUUUCCUGCCAGGUCGUGUUUGGAUGGGGUCUCAUUUCUCUCUCUGCGGCCAGUGGGUUCGGGUAAUCACUCUCUCCCUGGUCCCUUAGGGCUGGGGUUUGUGAUGGCCUCCCACUGUGUGACUCCGGGUGCCUUAGUCCCCUGCUGAAUUCCAGGCCCUGCUGUGCCUCUGCAGGGUCUGUGUACCCUCUGCUCUGUGGCUCCUCCGAGCACACAGUCUCAUCAUCACUGUCAUGAAUUGUCGUAGAAAAGUCCUAAAUCCCAGAGUUUGCAAUGGUCUUUUUUGCACCAGUUAGAAAACACACCACCUUUGGAAGCAAUUAACCUCUUGUGGUUCAGGUGUAUUCAGGAGUCCAUGCAGCAGGAAGUGGAGCCAUCAUCACAGGGUACGAAGGGAGGACAAGUGCAGUGUCGUGAGCAUGUACAGAGGGAAGUUGACAGCGGGGAGAGGCUUUGCUGAGGAAGUGGCGUUUGGAAGAACGAGAAUGAGGGGAAACCUGGAGAAGCCAGUGAAGGACACUGACCAGCGAACAGCUUCU
RNAcentral lists this long non-coding RNA (1197 nucleotides) under Homo sapiens (human). Its description in RNAcentral is "HSALNT0131432". Lineage: Eukaryota; Metazoa; Chordata; Mammalia; Primates; Hominidae. The record is from RNAcentral.